UGAAUCUGGACCCCAAAUUUC
RNAcentral lists this non-coding RNA (21 nucleotides) under Caenorhabditis elegans. Lineage: Eukaryota; Metazoa; Nematoda; Chromadorea; Rhabditida; Rhabditidae. The record is from RNAcentral.